Molecule: ribosomal RNA, 467 nt
Filed under: uncultured bacterium
Lineage: Bacteria
Description: partial 16S ribosomal RNA
Rfam family: Bacterial small subunit ribosomal RNA
Source: RNAcentral
ACGAACGCUGGCGGCGUGCUUAACACAUGCAAGUCGAACGGAAAGGCCCUGCUUUUGUGGGGUGCUCGAGUGGCGAACGGGUGAGUAACACGUGAGUAACCUGCCCUUGACUUUGGGAUAACUUCAGGAAACUGGGGCUAAUACCGGAUAGGUGCUCCUGCUGCAUGGUGGGGGUUGGAAAGUUUCGGCGGUUGGGGAUGGACUCGCGGCUUAUCAGCUUGUUGGUGGGGUAGUGGCUUACCAAGGCUUUGACGGGUAGCCGGCCUGAGAGGGUGACCGGCCACAUUGGGACUGAGAUACGGCCCAGACUCCUACGGGAGGCAGCAGUGGGGAAUAUUGCACAAUGGGCGGAAGCCUGAUGCAGCAACGCCGCGUGCGGGAUGACGGCCUUCGGGUUGUAAACCGCUUUCGCCUGUGACGAAGCGUGAGUGACGGUAAUGGGUAAAGAAGCACCGGCUAACUACGUG